ACGGUGUUCCGCUGUAAUGGAAAGAGCUUGCAAGAGCAUCUG
Bacillus gobiensis is the source of this 42-nucleotide regulatory RNA element. It matches the Rfam family "Ribosomal protein L19 leader". From Rfam's summary of the family: This family is a putative r-protein leader autoregulatory structure found in B. subtilis and other low-GC Gram-positive bacteria. It is located in the 5' untranslated regions of mRNAs encoding ribosomal protein L19 (rplS). The record is from Rfam. Lineage: Bacteria; Bacillati; Bacillota; Bacilli; Caryophanales; Bacillaceae.